CGGCAGGAAUCAGCGAAAGGUUUUUCUUUGUUUAAACCUAGAAUCAAUGUCUUCCUAGUUUGAAUUUGAUUUUUUCUUCGAGAUUAUGAGUAGCUAAACUCCUCGUGCUUUGAUGAGAUGAAUCCUACGUGAUUUCCUUAUGAACGAAUAAUCGAUUACCUUUGACGAUUUAUGCGAGUUGGAUAGCGUUUGAUUCAUGUUUAAUUUCGAUUUCAUUUAUGUUCUUUCUUGAUCAACUUGAAUUGAACAUUGUUAGAUUUUUCUUCGUCUCGAAAGAGCAUGCAUAUCUAGAACACCGAAGUUAAACAACUAGGUUAGGCGUAAACCCUCACCCGGGAGCGAAUAACUAGUUUGUUGUGUGAGCAAUUCAGGUUUAUUUUGUCGCCUAGCGGAUUUCACAUCUUUGUCUUGCAAGAGCGGACUGGCACAGUUGAUAGGUAGUACAUUAGUGGACCCGAAAUGACAUUAUUUGAUAAGAGAAGAACCGCGACAGUGAAUUGAAUCUAUCUUAUUUUGUUUAAAUUGUUGAAUUUGUCUAUCAUUUGUGAAUUUGUAUAGCCUAAAGGGAUUCGAAGUCUAAGCCGUUUUCUCCGAUUUGGUAAAAACCUUAUAUAGUGUAGUUUUGCAAAUUGUUUCAUUUUCCCAGUGUUUUUGCGUAAUUAGAAUAAUUUAUAGUUUUAGUAAUUGUGGAACCUACACCACGCGAAUUGAUAAAAUCGAUUAGCACUUGUUAUAACAUUGAGUAGAAUAUGUAAAAAGUCUCACCAUACAAGUAGUGUCUCGACAAUUUUAGUGCGAAGACCACUGCUGCCAGUUUCAAAUUAUGAAUUGGAUAAUUCACUUCAUGCACUUUCAGCUGGCGAGAUGCAUAAGCCACCACUAUACCAUCCUGCAUCAGGACACAACCUAACCCCGAAUACGAGGCAUCAUUGUAAAUCACAUACUCACCCCCAGCAACCGGUAAAGUAAGUAUUGGUGUAAUGGUGAGCCUCUUUUUCAACUCCUUAAAACUCUCGUGACAGGCCUUACUCUAGACAAAAGGAGUGUCCUUCCUGGUCAGCUUGUGGAGUGGUCCUGCUAUCCUAGAGAUCCCCUCUACAAACUUCCUGUAGUAUCCUACCAUACAAAAAAACUCCUCACUUCGAUCAUGCUUCUCAGCGGUGACCAAUUCACUAUCACCUCCACUAAUUAGGUGUCCCAUAAUUUGGCAUACAAUCACUCUCUCUUCAAGGUAUCCAAAACGUCUCUCAAGUGCUCUACAUGAUCGUCCUCCGUCUUGGAGUAUACUGAGAUAUCAUCGAUGAAUACUGUGACAAACUUGUCUAAAUACGCAUGAAACACCUUGUUCAUCAUCGCCAUGAAAGUUGUAGGGGUGUUGGUUAACCAGAAUGGCAUGACUAAGAACUCGUACUUACCAUACGUGGUUUGGAAUGCUGUCUUAGGUACAUCUUCCUCUGUAACCUUCAACUAGUGAUACCCUCACCUCAGGUUAAUUCGAGAACACAACUGCUCCCUGAAGCUGAUCAAACUGAUCAUCAAUGCGAGGCAGAGGAUAUAUGUUCUUGAAGUCACCUGGUUCAACCUCUUAUAGUCUAUACGACAUCUGCAUAAUCCAUCCUUCUUCUACAUGAACAGUAUCGGCCCACCCAAGGGUGACACACUAGGGCGGAUGAAACCCUUCUCUAACAGCUCCUUCAAUUCAUCUGGCACCAUACAAUAGGGUGUUAUGGAUAAAGGUGUUGUUCCUGGUACCAAAUCUAUAUCGAAAUCCCCCUCCCGCUCAAAAGGUACCUCUAACAGGUCAUGUGAAAAUACAUCAGGGAACUCCUAAACUAUCGGCACAUCCUCGAUCCGACCUUCAACAUCAAAGAGGAUAUGAGCAAGGAAAGCCUCAAAUCCACUUUUGAUCAGCCUUUCUGCCUUCAAGGCACAAAUGAAAGGACGUUUGUGGUGCAUCUGCCCCUGCAUCCCAACGAAGACCUAAUUGUCUUCUUCUUACAGCCCACCAUGGCUCCAUGGUGCUCCAACCAAUCCAUCUCCAAAAUCACAUCAAACUCAUAAAAAAGAAGAAUGAUGAGGUCUGUUGUGAACUCCCUAUCUUCAAAGAGCAUAACUGCUCCCUCUACCCAAGACGCCACCAAUAGAGUCUUCCCUACCAGAGUACUCACCCUAAACGAUUUACUCAUCCUAGUAGGCAAAAAGGGCAACAAAUGAACAACAACAUAGAGGAAAGAGUGCAGGCACCCAUAUCAAACAAGGCAUGAAAAGAUAUGCCAAAAAUAACAACGGUACCCGUGAUGGUAUCCGGCGCGACCCUACCUCAGCACUAGUGGCAUACACCCUCCUCUGCACCUCUGGGAUCCUCCCCUAUAGCGUCCCCUAUCAUAAAGGAAUUGCUUAAACUCUUAUAAGAAAAGACUUAGAGCCUCCUCCUCCUCCUCUCAUCUUGCUCCCAUACAGAGCUCGUCCCUAUUAUAUCGUCGCCUUCGAUGCUACGGGCAUACUCAGCUCAGUUCAUUCACGAGCAAAAUGGCCCAGCUGCCCAGGCUGAAAGUAAGCUUCUGGUUUCUUUAGAUACGCUCCCCAGUGUCAUACCCUACACUCGAGACAAGGUGCACGGUUAAAUCAUGCAGUGGGCUGCUUCUGAGGUGCUCAUGGUAACUGUCACCCGCCUAAAGCCACCUUUCUCUUCUUCUCCUUUUGCCAUGUCUGGGGCUCUCCCUUCCUCACACCCUCUAUGUGUGAGCUCUCAAGGCUGCAACCUUGAUAUCUACCAGGGUGCCCAUAUCACUGCUGGUGACCCCAAGCUGAAUAUGAGCUCUCAACCCAUCCAGAAACAUCUACUUCAUAUCUUCUACCUUCUCCCCAGGGGAGCCCUUAUACCACCUACUCAGCCUGAUGAAGGUGUUAUGGUAAUCAACCACCUUCAUAUCACCCUGUCUGAGGUCGAUGAACUCAUCCCUCUUGUUCUUUUUCCACUUCUCUAGCAUGAACUCUUCCCAAUCCUAUCCAAAUAGGUCAUCAUCGACCUCUAACUAGUUACUACACCACUUCUUUACUAUACCUCUUAGUAGGUAAACAGAAUACAACACUCUAUACUCUGGCAUGUGGUUCAGAUAUCUGAACGCAUUCGUCAACUCUCCCAGCCAAUCAACUACCAACCGCGGAUCUUUAGACUCCCCAUCAACUGUAAUGACGCCAUUCGUCAUCUUGACCACUCGUCAUCUCGACCGUACCCUUGUGAUCACUACAUACAUGAAGGCAUAUUUUAGUAUCCCUUUUCAUUUAAAACUUAUCUAUGUUAUUUUUGGAAAACAUUGAAAACUAUUCAAAACAUCAACCACGACCUUGUGAUCCAUAUUGCUACGACCAUGUUGUACGGUUGUCAUGCCCCGUGGCUUACAUCUUGCCACGCCCGUGACCGGCAUUACCACGUCUAUGUUGUACCAAUGACCACGCCAAUGGUUCUCAUCCGGUUAUGCUGGUGACCUGCUGACUUACGACGCCCGUGGUUGUCACCAUGUCACGACCGUUGCCCAUUACUAGCCACGCUCGUGGUGGUCCGUCCAUCACGCCCGUGAUGUAUUAUCAGCCCUGCCCGUGGCUGACUCUCCGUUUCAAAUUGAAAGAAACAAUCAACUUACAAACGCUUAACACAGAAAAGAAGUAUCUCCCCAGAUUAUUCAGUCGUGAACUAUAGUCAGUGCUGGUCGGUUUGAGGUUUAUGACGUCUCUAUACUAGCAAACACAAUCACGCAGUACAAAACAACCAGGUUAUGAUACGCGUUAGGAAACCCGCCCCUAAACGACCCGGUUGAACCAUGGUUUUACCCAUUCAUUACUCACGAGUUCACUUAUCACAUAAAUAAACAUAAACAUAUACAAUAACAAAGUCCUGAAAAUGCCUCAUAAUAUAAGUAAACGACAGUGGAAGAAAAACAGAGCAUCUAUGGUUUGCAAUCUAGUACUAACAACGUAAACACAUUCUAAAUAGGAAAACUCAAUAUCUAGAGAUAAGUCUACUGAAAACAACUAAAAACAUCCAAAAAUCUAUAAACAUGAAAACAUCUAAAAAACAUGAUAUGGAUAAUGAGGUCCUCGAAGGUACCUCUCUCUACGACUCCAAGAUCCACUCGAUCGAGGUGUCGCUGCUCAUGUAGCUCUCUUAGGCGGCAUUUUCUCCUGAAGUCCCAAAGUUGAUCAUGCAAGAACAUAGAGAUGAGGUCAGUGAUAACCAAUAAGUGAACAGUCCAGACUCGUGUAGAAGUACGAUAAACAUCUAGUAAUGUGAUCUUGUGGUCCUGUAGGCAUCAUCUUAUCAACAACCACCCCUAACUAUAUUUGAUAGCCUCAUGGUGGAUUAGACCUUGAAACCACCUAGUAGAUCGUAGAAACCGUGUGAGCAGCAUCUGAGGCAUACUCGACACGUCAUGCAUAACCGUAGAACAUCCUGAGGGAUUAUGCAAUCUAUGAGUGGGUGAUCAACGCAUCAUAGUUAAGAAGUAUUCUAUCCUAAACUAUAAUAUCAGGAACUGUGAAUCACACGUCACAGUUCAUCUAUUAGGAGCUUAUGCUCAAAUCAUACUCAUUGCUUGUAUAGUAGAACAUGAUCUACUGUAUAGUCCGGAGAGCCCAACUCUAAAUCUUAACAUAAUGUAUGUACAGUAGAUCACAUGCUACUGUAUAAUCCUAAGAGCCCGACUCUGAAUCAUAUCAUAUGAUAAUACCUGUAUAGUAGAUCACAAGCUAUUGUAUAGUCCGGAGAAUCCGAUCAUCGGAUUCCUAACAACCAAAUUACAGUUCUACACUUAAAGCAUAAACGUAAGUUCUAAACCCACAUCUCUGAAAAGCUUUCCAGCUAGACUCUAAUCUGAAGCAGCCUCCCUAUUGCUCAAUUGCCUGAUCCGUUUGUCGUGUAGAGAUCAAUCGUAGGAUUGAAAUCCCAAAACCCCAAAUCCUAACAUGUAAGGAUUUUCCUAUGUAGGAUUCAAAUUAAGGGAUUGAGAAAUGAUGAAGAAGAUAGGUUACCUUCUGAAGUUUCCUCAAUGAUCUCUCAGCCUCUCCUACCGAUCUGGGAUCGAUCAACUUGGCCUUCUGUUCCUCCUAAAAUCGGUCGUCGUUCGUCAGAGAGAAAUAUAAAUUUCGGUUUCUAUAAAUUAUGAGUUGCAUGUCGCGACUAUGCUUUUAUAAUAAGUCCACCAUGCACAUGGCCAACUUACCUCCACGUCUGUGGCUUACUGGUAAACACGUAUGUGACCUACUAGUGGUCACGGCUAUGAUCUCCGGGUGGUCACGAUGGGGACCAUGGUCUUGCUGACGACCAUGCCCGUGAUUGUCCAUCCAUCAACAAAAAUUCCAGAAUCACAGAAUUCAGAUUAAACUCGAAAAAUCAACUAUCAACCCGAAAUAAGGGUCCCACAUACUGUUUCCUUUGGUAUCUGGGUUUCUCGUGAUUGUAAUCCCUAUUUGUUAGGUUUUUCCUAUUCUGAUUAUGUCGAUAGUCUAACUGAUCGUAUGAGUAUUUCUGGAUCAUGUAAACUGGGACUUCUUUGAUCUCUUAGGUUAGUAAACAAUAAAAUUGUGUAGCUUUAUCAACCGCGGAGGCUGAAUAUUUGGCAGCUGGUAGUUGUUGCACUCAACGUAUUUGGAUGAAAGCUCAAUUUCGUGAUUAUGGAUCAUGUUUUGAUUCAAAAUUCCUCUAUUUUGUGAUAAGACUAGUGCAAUAAAUAUCUCUAAAAAUUCUAUUCUUCAUUUACGUACUAAACAUAUUGAUAUCAAACAUCACUUUAUUAGACAACUAGUUCAAAAUAAUAAAGUUUCACUUGAAUUUAUUCCUACUGAUAAUCAAAUUGCUGACAUUUUUACUAAACCUUUACGUGUAGAUAGGUUCAUUCAUCUUAGACGAGAACUCGGUAUCUUAAAUGUCAGUGAUGCUGAUUCUCUUAGCAAAAUUGAUUGAUCUGCCUAUUUUCUCUCUUUUCUUGUGUAGAAUCUUUCUGAUCUUCUAACCAUUCUGCAUUUCUUUAUUACUUGAGUUUUGUUUCCUCACUCCUCUCUGGAUGUGGUUUUGCCCAUGGAUGCUUGGAUUAUGGACAGUGUUAUCUCCGGACGACACGUUAGCUAUGCUCACAUCAUGUUCGUUCACAUCAUCAAUGCUGGAAUGGAUCACAAUAUUCACCAUCACAUGCCCUUUGUACCCCUCAUUACCUUACUUUUGCAGAGACUUGGACUUGGCAUUGAGGAUCACUAGGGUGCUACCAACAGUCUCAGGGUUCUUCGUGCGAAAAAGGUAUUCCGUCUGAGUUGGGUAACGGUUUAGUAAUGCCACAAAGGGAGUAUUGGACUCUUCUGAUGAUGAUUCCGAUUUAUCAGAUGAAUAUCUUGACGUUGAGACAACACAAGCUCAAUUUGGAGUCCCGGGGAAAUCUUGGGUUGAUCAUGAUGCAACCUUAGACUAUGAGACUAAUCCUGGGUUGAUCAUGGUGUCUUCAUUAUAGUGUCGAAGCGUGAGUUGUUUAAUUGUCCUGUUUUUGUUUUGUCUGAAUAAAAGAAGAACUCCCAUUUUGCUUUUUAAAGAUACACUUUCAUCAAAAGUCAGGUUGUGUGUCAUCAUGAAUUAAUGGGGGAGAUUGUCGAGUCAUUUUAAACAUUAUAAUGACUACAUUUACAGAUCUUGGAAAGGUUGGUAUUUUUGUGUUUGCUGUAAUAAACUAAAGGAGCUGAUCCCAUUUAUAUC
This 6736-nucleotide long non-coding RNA is filed under the name Linum usitatissimum (flax). RNAcentral's name for it is "long non-coding RNA (LUSI_LNC008035)". Lineage: Eukaryota; Viridiplantae; Streptophyta; Magnoliopsida; Malpighiales; Linaceae. The record is from RNAcentral.